AGUUAGAGGCAGUUGGUCAGAGAACAGGAAGUGAAGGCUCCUCCCGGUGUGUGUGCCUCUUUGCCACGGAUGCAGACAGCAGCUGGUUUGGAACUUGGAUAGAGGAGGCCAGACCCCCCAAAUGUCUCUAUUUUCCAGGGACAUCCCUGAUUUAGAGAAGCCGUCCCAGUUUCUGAUUUGAUCCCGGAACGUCCCGCUUUUCCUUAGGAUGUCCCUAUUUUCAUUAGAUAGAUCUUGGAGGGUAUGGUAGGAUGUCCCUAUUUUCAUUGGAGAAAUGUUGGAGGGUAACUAUUUGAAGAGCAACUGUAAUCAACAAAUUACGUUAGUAGGACUACAAGAAGUUUUGUAAGGAGAAAUAUAUGAAAUAUUGCAAAAUAGCGAAAGAAGAGAGAUUUUAGUUAUGAAAUUGAAAGGUAAUAGUGAAAGUAAGAAAUGUAUAUUAAGUGAAUAGAUUGGAAAAUUUUCAGACGUGAUUGAUGGAAGUCCAAAAAAUUGAAUAAGAUGUAAAAGUAUGUUUAAUUAGUUGAAAAUGGUAUGUUAAAAACUAAUAAAAAAACUGUUGUUUUUUUUAAAGGAGAAAUGUUGGAGGGUAUGGAGUUAUCCAACCUCCGAGCCAUCUGAAGGCAAUCCUGUACAGGGAAGUUUUUUUAAACAUUUAAUGUUUUAUUAUGUUUAUAUUGUAUAUGUUGGAAGCUGCCCAGAGCGGCUGGAGCAACCCAGUAAGAUGUGUUGGGUAUAAAUAGUAAAAUUAUCAUUGUGGAAUGGGGUGUCCCUAUUUUCAUCAGAGAAAUGUUGGCGGGGAUGGGAGUCCAUUAGCUACAUAAAACUCCCCUCUCUGUCCCUCACAAACAUCUUGAUCUGCACCAGUAACAAGUGUGCCUGAAUGCCUAACUUAAUGUUACAGUAUAUUAUGCUGCUUUCCAAAUCAAAUCUUUGAUCCUGUUGGUCAGGGGAAGAACAGAGGACCAUUGGCUCCAGCUUGAGAUUGUCCCUUCCACAUGUCUUCAAUGAGAGGCCAACGUUUAUCCUCGAAGCAGGUAAGGAAAAUAGACAAUCCAUUGACAAAAUCAGUACUGUUGGUGGGGAAAACAUGGAGUGAAACGCUGGCCUCAACCCUUUGCCAUUGGUCCCUAUCCUGAAUCACCCAGCUUUCAGACACACAGACAAGUAUUAACAAGCCAUGGGAAUUUAUACUGUUUUUGACCUGCUUCCCAGAGGGAAAGCAAUUUCCAAAGAGGAAAUACAAAGUAAAUUAAAAGACUCAUUAUUUUGUGCUUCAUUUGGAAUGCAGGAGAGAGAGCCUACUACACACACUUAGCUUGUUUGAAUGCUUGUGCAACAGGCAAGCUUAUGACCUGAAGAGCGCUGCUUCCCUAAUAUAAAGCUAUCUAUUAGAUCAGGAAGCCGGGGCUGUUAGAGGCCCCCGAAUUGUAUGGGAAUCAGAAAUAGGCCACCAAAACAAAGAUCCCUAAUGGGAGGUGUUAAGUUGUGGGUGAACAUAUCAGGUGACACAGCGAUUCUUCAAACAGCUCUUGUUUAUUCACAGGCCAGAACAGAACUGAACUGAAGGGUUCAGCCAGCCUGCUUAUAUAGAGCUCCACUACAACGCAACUGUAACCACUUUCUGUAACUAUCCAAUCACUGAACGUCACUUUCAAUCCCUUAUUUGCAUAUGUGGACCUGAGUGAAAACUAUCUACAGUAUCCCCCUGCUGGCCCAGGGUGAGAACUUCAGUACAUAACAGGAGGGUAUCUGGGUCACCAUCUCCCCUUUAAACUAUCUCUGCUUGCUUACAGGAGGCCUUCUUCACUGGAUGCCAGUUGAGCCGGCAAAGAUUAAUCCCUCCCUUUCCCCUUUAUGCUGGAAGGCUGUGGAAAAUAAUCUCCAUGAUAUCCACAAUUACAAGCCAGCUUCUUUCUCCAAAUCCUCCCUCAGCCCUACUAUCUUUAGACAUAGACUUGGGCUCCACCUUGCACCACAGAGAACUAGUAGGCUUCUUACUGACCACAGCACAAUUAGCGAUAACUCAACCACAGAAGAACCAGUCUGAAAUAUACCCCUAAAAGUAUGGGGAAAUAAUAUAUGGGAUACAGCACUGUCUGAGCAUCUCAGCAGACAACAGAAGGGCAAUUAAAGGCAUAAUGAAAAGAGAGACCUUCCAAGAAACGUGGACCCCUUUCUUUAACUGUGUUAAUGACCCAAAUCAAGACCUUGUUAUAUCAACCGCUCAGUGGAGAGGUUAUGUUAAGUAAUAUGUUUGAACACUGAAUGUGUAAGAUUAUGCCUAAAGUCACAAGAGUCUUGAUUGUACAAGGAUGGAAGAAUGAGGAAACCCCGACAAAAGAACAGUGGCAAGAGAAACUGAUGAACUAUGCAGAACUGGCCAAAUUGACAUACAAUCUGCGAGAUAAGGACAACUGUGACUUUAAAGAAGAAUGGGAACUUUUUACAAAUUGCUUAAACAAAAAAACAAGAAAAUGAAUUGGACUCUUUGGCAGGUUUUGAAUAAACAUACACAAAUUUAUUGAUUGCUAACUGUUACGGAAGUUACAGGUUGUUAAAUGUUACAAAUAUUGUACCUGAAUGUACCCUUUCAACUUGACAGCUCAGGGAAGUUACCUAGCUUUAAAAAUAAUAUAAAAUCAACUCCUUUGCCAGUUUCCUCCAUUCCAAAGCUAUUUUCCCCUUGAAAAAAGACUCCAGGAAGUUCGCAGAGUUGACAAUUGCUGGGCUCGUUGUUAGCCAAGGGAAGCCAAAUCUCAUCCCUUGACUUGCCUUAGGCUCCAGACAUGCAAAAGAAGUUCUAUUGUACUUUUGGGUGGUGGGUACUUAAGACAUAUUUGUCUAUGCUAAUCUUAUACUUGUGUGUUGCCCUGACACAUCAGUCUAUGCUAAUCAUGUGUAACCCUCCCCUUUUGUGACAUGUCAGUGAUGUAGCAAUGAUGUAUCAGUGAUGCUGUACGAACUGUAUUCUGGGAUAUGGUGGGAAAGUUUUAAAAGUCCUUGUCACCCCAUCCUCUGGGUUCAAUCUCCUUUUGAACCUGUUGCGUGAUAAACUUGGAUCUUCAGCAAUUUGCUCUGGUUGGUGGCUGGACUCAUUUAUUCUGCAGGGACCCGUGGGCUCUGCCCGACAAGCUGGGUAACUGAGCAGCCUCACAUCUAGAUUUUUCCAUAACACUAACAUAGUAGAAAGAGAAUAUAAGGAUAUAGACAAUUUUACAGUAUGCAGAAAAUAAUAUGUGUUGAGAAAUCAGAGAGAGGAGCUGAGGGAAGUCUCUGGGGGAGGGCAAGAAGGGUUUGGGGGGGAAGGGGAAAAAUAAUGAAUAUGAUAUGUUUUGAUAAGUUGUUAUAUUGAAAUUGCUAAUAAAAAUACUUUUU
RNAcentral lists this long non-coding RNA (3378 nucleotides) under Podarcis lilfordi (Lilford's wall lizard). Lineage: Eukaryota; Metazoa; Chordata; Lepidosauria; Squamata; Lacertidae. The record is from RNAcentral.